AUUUUCUCCUAGUUGCCUAGUUUGGACAAUGUAUUCUAUGGUUACCAUGUAAUGUAUUGUCCACACAUACGGUUGGCAUCUUGAGGAGGUGAGAUACACAAUAGAAUUGUAGAUUGCUUUGGGUUUACAUGCAACUCAAGUCCCGUUGUGACCAACUGUGAUGAAGAUGCGACUAUAGUCGCCAGUGAGCUUGCCAAAAGAUUGCUGUGACCUGGAAGUUAAAGAUCUCUACAUGAGAGAUCACAUUACAUUGAGGGGUGGGAACACCUAACUCCCCAAACCGUUUCCUCCACUAUGGAGUGACAUAGACAAGAAGAACGCUCCUAAUGAUUCUGUCUCUUCUUCCGGUGGUGGUGGCAAUCAGUGAUAUGAUUGGUUGAUUUGGAAAGCGAGCGUUGGCUUUGUGACCCGCCCCUUCCUUUUCUCUUAGGGAAGAGUUGCCCAGAGGACGUGCCCACUUAGCUCCGCCCCUCCAAGCUGUACGUUGCUGGGACGGAUUCUCCUGUGCGCGGUCGUCCGUUGGGUGCCCUCUGUGGCGUCGUCGGUCAGUCUAAGGCUGAGGAACCUGAAUCUUGAAUUUUCUGAGGACAGCAUCUAGGCUUCAGAGUUCUUACCAGGUAAUGAGAAAAUACAGAAAAAAUCCAAACUGUCCAGAUUAGAAUUUCAGUGUGUGUGUGUGUGUGUGU
Molecule: long non-coding RNA, 686 nt
Filed under: Mustela putorius furo (domestic ferret)
Lineage: Eukaryota; Metazoa; Chordata; Mammalia; Carnivora; Mustelidae
Description: lncRNA (ENSMPUG00000028050.1)
Source: RNAcentral